This 1664-nucleotide long non-coding RNA is filed under the name Manihot esculenta (cassava). RNAcentral's name for it is "long non-coding RNA (MESC_LNC013168)". Lineage: Eukaryota; Viridiplantae; Streptophyta; Magnoliopsida; Malpighiales; Euphorbiaceae. The record is from RNAcentral.
UCCUUUUCUGAGGCCAAAAUGGUGGUGAAGCGAGAGGCCAAUUUUUUGUGCGAAGGACGAAGUCGGUGACCUGCCAUCCAGCUCGUGUAAACCGCAUGACUUUGGGCCACCAUGCAUCUGAAAUUUCGAUGAGCCAAAACCACUCCAUUAACUCGACUAGUAGUCCGUGAGGAUAGAGAAUUAUCCCAGGGUCCAAUUGGUAAACCUUCACUCCUUCCAUUUCUCCACAGUGAGCUAGACUCAUCAUCAGCGAUUCAAACUCGGGAGAGUCGAGUACGAUUGUUUUGAGAUUAGGAAUUGUAUGAGCAGCAUUCGACGUGACGAACACAAGUACAGGUUUCGAAUGCUGAAUUUGGUGGAGAAUCUCAAGUUUAAAGAUAAUUGAUUUUUUAGGAGAGGUAACGACACCGAGAGAGAAGAUAUAGAAAUAAAGGACCGAAAGGUGAAUAGAGCUAGGAGAAAGCACGAAGGCAAUAUCUCCUUUUCUGAGGCCAAAAUGGUGGUGAAGCGAGAAGGCCAACUUUUUGUGAGAAGGACGAAGUCGGGAAAAUAAAUUCGGCAGCGAGCGACGGCGUCGAUGAGAGCGUUUUAGGUUUUUCUACACCAUUUAAGAAUUUUACCUUAAUUAACCAACGAUUAAUACCUCGCCUUGGUUAUCCAAGGUGUAGCGUAGAGUCCAGCAUCAAGUAAUAUAAAAAUACAAUAUGGCCUGCUACCGACAGAUGCUCCCCCACUUUCAAUUCAAAUUUGUAAAGAAUCGCCAAAUAUUUUUAAAUCCUAAUUUAUUGUGCCAAGAAAUAAAAUUUUGGAUUUUUAUGACACUAUUCUUUAUUUUUUCAAGAAACAAUUUCAUUUAGUCUGCUAGUGAAUGAGGAUUUGGGAUAGGUGCAACACUUCCUUUAUGCCUUAUAACUGAACUACGACAUUGCCUUUCAAAUGCCAACUAACGUUUUAUAUCUAGACGGUGACACUGCCUUUCAAUUGUUGUUUUAUAUCACAAAUUGCACCUAUUCGCAUGCCAAUUUUCGUUCCUUUGACAAGCUUUCCAAGUUAUUCAUUUUAGGUACUUCUGUAUGCUUCUAUCCUAAGUUAUAGUCAAGUUUUGGCAAUAUUAAGGGUCUAAUUCACUCAUGGUCUCUUUAUCAAACUUGUUCUCCUAUAUCUUAGCUAAUUCAGUGAUUUUUUUUGUUGCUUUUUUUUUCUAUAAUCUUAUAAAUAUAAUUAUUUGUAUGUUAAUUAUUUUAAAUAUAUUAAACUUAUUAAAUUUCCAAUAAGUAAUAUAUUCAACAUGAAAAUCUGUUAAUAUGGCUUGAAUUUACAUUGCUACUAUUUGCUAAUUAAAGUCUUAACAUAUAUUAUAUUUCGACCGCACCCGAAGGCUGCCUACGUACCUCCAAUAGAGGAUCAGGUCCACGUAGCUCUCAACAAUGGAUAAUAACAUAAAGUUUAUACUAACAUAAUUUAUUCUUGCUAAUAAUCAACCACAAUAUCACACUAUGCUAUACAAAAAUAAUCUUAUUCAUUUAUUGAAUAAUCUAUUGGAGGAAUAAGGGUUAUAUCUAGAAUCCAGAAAAUAACUAAGGAAACAUAAAUAAUUAUAUUUUCAUAGCUAACUUUGCACAAUCCAAUUAAGAAACUAAAUACAAAUAUUCAAAACAUAUAUA